GAGGAUAUAGCUCAAGUGGCAGAGUGCAUGCAUCAAAUGCACAAGGUCCUGGGUUCAAUCCCCAGUACCUUCU
RNAcentral lists this transfer RNA (73 nucleotides) under Camelus bactrianus (Bactrian camel). It matches the Rfam family "tRNA". From Rfam's summary of the family: Transfer RNA (tRNA) molecules are approximately 80 nucleotides in length. Their secondary structure includes four short double-helical elements and three loops (D, anti-codon, and T loops). Lineage: Eukaryota; Metazoa; Chordata; Mammalia; Artiodactyla; Camelidae. RNAcentral also lists the same sequence under 2 other names. The record is from Rfam by way of RNAcentral.